Phascolarctos cinereus (koala) is the source of this 1231-nucleotide non-coding RNA. The record is from RefSeq and is a predicted model, not a curated record. NCBI's taxonomy places the organism in Eukaryota, Metazoa, Chordata, Mammalia, Diprotodontia, Phascolarctidae.
AUAAGCUAUUCACCAACAGCCUCAGAUCUGGGAAGAGGCUGAUGUCUUAUCUGAUGUCAUUACCAAAAGCCACUAUUUUAAAACUGUCUUCUUUCAACUGCCUUGCUUCCUGAAUUAUAUAGUUAAUAGCAGAGCCAGCAGUAAUAGCACCCAGGUCUCUUGACUCCCAGGCCCGGUGGUCCCCUUCUUAUUUACGAUUGUAGCCAACACAGUCGCUGGAAACCUUUCUCAGAGAAUUGUCAGAUAUUAGCGCUGCCAGUGACCUCACAGUCCGUCUCGUCCAACCACCUCCAUUUACAGAGGAAUAAGCUGAGCCCCACAGAGGGGCUGCAGGGUGCUGAAGGUCACAGUGACUUGGGAGAUGUCGUUUCUGGGGCUGGCUGCACCGCCAGGUCCUAGUCCAAUGUUCUUUCCAUUGCACGCUGCUGUCUCCUAUGAUAAAUGCUGUAUGCCUGUCUCCCUGCCAGGUUACUGCAGGCCUGGUGCUCUAUCCACUAUCUAACCAUCCUCACAUAUUUAUGGAUAGAGUGAAAAAACUUGAAGAUGAAGAUCACAACCUAAAUGGCUUCCUUUGACCAAGAUGAAUUCUGCAGCCCAGCCUCAAUCCAUCUUUCUGAGAAUAAGAACUGGACACCAACUGGCUAACACAAGCAAACUACUUCCCACACACCCAGACGAAAUAAAAGGAACAGAUGUUAACACACUUCUGCCAAAACUGCAGUGAGCCCAGAGCUGUGAAGCCCAUGUUGGAGGAGAGACGUCACUGCAGCAGGCACAGCCUUAGCCCAGCCCAGAGAAGUAAACACAGGAAACAAUGAGACAACAGGCAUGUGCACAGGACAUACAGUUGGUCCAUUGAUGUCUUUUCCAAAAUUGAAGGCUUCUGAAGCCAUUUUGCCAAUAUAUAGCCCGGGCUGACUUUUUAAAGUUCAUCCUACUCAUCGUCAGCUUUUCUUGUUACAGAAAUGUCUACAAGUACAGCAAGUGUUAUUCUCUGAGGAAUAAGUAGAGAGGGGGAAGAAUAAGUAAUGUAACUCCAGAGCAAAAAUUUGUAACCUUUCUGGUGUUAGAGACCCCUUUGGCAAUCCUCUGAAGUCUAUGGACACCUUUUCACACCAAUUUUUAUAAAUGCAUAAAUGAGAAUAUGAAAGAAUUAUGCUUAGGCAUUCUUUCCAAUUACUCUUUCCUUCUCUCCCUUUCUUCCUCUCUUCUUUCCUCCCUUCCUUCCUCC